GAUAUUGUAGCUCAAUGGUUAGAGUGCUCGGUUGUCUCCCGAGAGGUUGCGAGUUCGAAUCUCGUCGGUACUG
This 73-nucleotide transfer RNA is filed under the name Winogradskyella flava. It matches the Rfam family "tRNA". From Rfam's summary of the family: Transfer RNA (tRNA) molecules are approximately 80 nucleotides in length. Lineage: Bacteria; Pseudomonadati; Bacteroidota; Flavobacteriia; Flavobacteriales; Flavobacteriaceae. The record is from Rfam by way of RNAcentral.